UACCUGAAUGACAAAAGACUGCACUUGA
Molecule: non-coding RNA, 28 nt
Filed under: Mus musculus (house mouse)
Lineage: Eukaryota; Metazoa; Chordata; Mammalia; Rodentia; Muridae
Source: RNAcentral